RNAcentral lists this ribosomal RNA (490 nucleotides) under uncultured bacterium. Its description in RNAcentral is "partial 16S ribosomal RNA". It matches the Rfam family "Bacterial small subunit ribosomal RNA", at positions 30 to 507 of the family's 1533-position model. The record is from RNAcentral.
AUUGAACGCUGGCGGCAUGCUUUACACAUGCAAGUCGGACGGCAGCACAGAGAAGCUUGCUUCUUGGGUGGCGAGUGGCGAACGGGUGAGUAAUAUAUCGGAACGUACCGAGUAAUGGGGGAUAACUAAUCGAAAGAUUAGCUAAUACCGCAUAUUCUCUGAGGAGGAAAGCAGGGGACCUUCGGGCCUUGCGUUAUUCGAGCGGCCGAUAUCUGAUUAGCUAGUUGGUGGGGUAAAGGCCUACCAAGGCGACGAUCAGUAGCGGGUCUGAGAGGAUGGUCGCCCACCCUGGAACUGGGCCACGGCCCAGACUCCUACGGGAGGCAGCAGUGGGGAAUUUUGGACAAUGGGCGCAAGCCUGAUCCAGCCAUGCCGCGUGUCUGAAGAAGGCCUUCGGGUUGUAAAGGACUUUUGUCAGGGAAGAAAAGGCUGUUGCUAAUACCGACAGCUGAUGACGGUACCUGAAGAAUAAGCACCGGCUAACUACGUG